Molecule: RNA transcript, 3065 nt
Organism: Piliocolobus tephrosceles (Ugandan red Colobus)
Lineage: Eukaryota; Metazoa; Chordata; Mammalia; Primates; Cercopithecidae
Gene name: histone H3.1
Exons: 4
Source: RefSeq, a predicted model, not a curated record
CUGCAGAAGAGGCUAGUGGGGAUGGUAGCCUGGAAUUUCAAUAGGACCCAAUGAAAAAAGUAAAUGAGAGUCGUUGGAAAACCUAAAGUCAGUCUAUCCUUUAAAAAUUCUCAACCGAAGCAAAAUACCAUUUGGGACAAAAUACAAUUCCCUUAACAUUUGUUGCUCACUGUUGUAUGUCGGUGACUUCUUGGUUCGUGAUUUCCCAGGUACACCACCCAGGAAUCCUGCCUUAUAAUGGUCAAAGGUUUCUAGCUAGCGGCAAUUCAAGUUACUCCGGAAAACCACACAAGAUAAACUUCUCAAAACUUGGUUCUCCGAAUCUGGCCCCACAACACAUCUACUGAAUGAGAAUUAGCGUCUUCCAAAGUCUUAAAGUAGUCGUUUACGGACUACAGCUUGAGAAGCGCAGAAUUAGAAUUUUAGGAAAUAACGCUCUUGGAUCGCAUACUAACAGAGAAGAGAGGAUUAAAAAAUGAAGUGAUUCAUCCAAUCAGACUUUCCAGUAAUUCACCAAUCACAUCGUUGGACUCUUCAGCCAAUGGUUUUGUUGCGCGGGACUUUUGAAAAUCAACAAGGCCAAUUAGAAUGUUUCUGAGUAUAUAUAAGGGUAGUCGCCACUCUGCCAAAGUGGCUGAGUUUUUCUUUCAGUUAAUCUGAGAUGGCCCGCACCAAGCAGACUGCACGCAAGUCCACCGGUGGCAAAGCACCGCGCAAGCAGCUGGCCACUAAGGCGGCUCGGAAAAGCGCGCCGGCCACCGGCGGCGUGAAGAAGCCUCACCGCUACCGUCCCGGCACCGUGGCUUUGCGCGAGAUUCGCCGCUACCAGAAGUCGACUGAGCUGCUGAUCCGAAAGUUGCCUUUCCAGCGCCUGGUGCGAGAAAUCGCUCAGGACUUCAAGACGGAUCUUCGCUUUCAGAGUUCCGCGGUGAUGGCCCUGCAGGAGGCCUGCGAAGCCUACUUGGUGGGGCUCUUUGAGGACACCAACCUGUGUGCCAUCCAUGCUAAGCGAGUGACUAUCAUGCCCAAGGACAUUCAGCUCGCUCGCCGCAUUCGUGGGGAGAGAGCGUAAAGAUUUCUGGGUAAUCUCUCCAACCCAAAGGCUCUUUUAAGAGCCGCCUACUUUCACCCGAAAAUAGCUGUGAUUGACUGAUCGAAUCUUUGAAACUGAACGUUGGUUGUAGUACUUAUAGUCCUCAUUUGAUUGGCUAAAGUUAAUGAGACGAGGUCUCGCUAUAUUACCCAGACUGGUCUUGAACUCCUGGGUUCAAGUGAUCCUCAUGCCUCAGCAUCCCAAAGUGCUGCAAUUACUGGUGUGAGUCACAGCAUCCAGCCCUCCUUAUGCUUUUCUAAUUGAGGAUCCAAGAGGCAACAUAUCCAAUGAAACUACCUCAUCCUCAUGGUUACAUCCACAUUGAAAGAUUACUGGGCUGUGGACAGAAGUUCUGCUGCUGAUAGAGAUGAAGUGUUUUGACCUGAAGAUUCAUCCAGCAACAAGUGAAUGCAUUUCCUUUUAGAAAUUAAGAAUCUGGACCCUUCUUUGGUGCACAGCAUAUUAGUUAAGAUAAAUACAAGUUUAUUUUCUGUGGAUAUGAGGUUCAAAAAGGGUAUUCUAGAUCAACAGGUCCCUCUUUGUUCCAGCAGUAGUUCUGGAACCCAAAUUCCCUCUGUCUUUGUGGCUUAGCUGUCUUAAAUGUGGCUUCCACAUUUGCCCUGCAAAGGGAAAGAAGAUGGAAAAAUCCUUCGUGGAAAGUUGUUAUGUCCCAGGCCUGGAAAUAUCAAUCUUUACUUGUAUUUAUGUUCCAUUGGCAGGAACUUAGCUAAAAGGCCACACCUAAUUGGAAGAGAAGCUGAAAAAAGAGGUUUCAACAUGGGCCCAAAAGAAGAAAAAGGUUAAAUUAAUGACCAGAAUUAAUAAGAGAAAAAGCAUAUGAAUUUAUUAACGUGUAUACUGCAGAGGGGGUUGGAUAGAGUGAUCACCCAAUAUUGCAACUGGGCAUGGAUGUUUAUCCUACUUCCUAGGGAAAUGGGAGCUUGAGAAGUGUUUUUAGGGGUAUAAUAAAUGACUUUUAGGGGAAUUCAAUGGGCUUGAAGAACAUGCAAGAGCCUGGGACAAUGUCUGUUAGGGCUGCAGAGUAGGCAGCGGUUUGUGACAGAAUCUGUGUAGGCUUGUUGACAGGCUUGUGUUUCUCCCUGUGAUAUUAGUUCAUUUAAUGAAAACUCAGGGUAGAGACAAAACAUAAUUGUAUUCUUUGACAGGUUUGGACUUUAGGCAGAUAAGGAACUUCUGAAAACAACUUCAUCCUGUGCUUUGGGAGAUACAGAGAAUUGAGAGACAGGAGGGGUGGGGAGAAGGUCAGAGAGACCUUGUAGCUUCUUCAGUUCAGGAUGUCAAAGUGCCAUAUUUUGGGAUAUCAGUUUCUGAGCCACAACAGUGUCAUAUAUCUUUGAUUUUAGAUACCAUCUCUUGCUCUUAAUCCAUUUCCAGAAAACCUGCUUAUCUUCUGAAGUUGCUGUGCAGAAGCCCCCAUUUUGUUCUUCAUAGUGGUAGAAACAAAAGUGAAAUAAAAGUCAGAAUUCUUUGUUACACCCAACUCUAAGCUUGAGCAAUUGCCUCAUCAUUACAAAAAUUUAUUGUUUCUAGUUUAUAAAUGAGAAAACAAGCUGAAUGGUUCUGCAUAAUGCCUAAAGUCAUCCAGUUAAUAAAUGAUGUAACAAAUUUCAACCCAGGUAGUAGGUCUUAAAACUCUCCUAAUGUUAAGCAUAUUCCAUUGCUGUGCUAUAGUUUGUGAAAAUAAAUAAAAUUUGAUGUGAUGGUGCAUUCCUGUAGCCCGUCCUACUCUGGAGGCUGAGGUGGGAUAGCCAUUAGAGACAUGAGUUGGAGGCUGCAGUGAGCUAUGAUUGAGCCACUGCACUUCAGGCUGGGUGACAAAAUGAGACCUCAUCUCCUUAAGAAGGAAAAACACACAAAAAAGCCAGCUCUUGGAAUUCCCAAAACACAUUAAGAUUGAGAGAGAUGAGAAAACUUGAGUUCUUUUUUUUCUUGUUCUCUACAGUGUCUAGAA